AUAUUCUAUGAAACAAAUCAACUCUAAACACACACCUACCUAACUAAAACAAAAUCAUAUUGUUUAUCAGCUGAUACGAACGCGAUAACAGAAUCGCUCGAAACUGAGAAUUGAGAUAACAAAAACAAAAUGGCGGCGAUUAGAAUCCAUUUUUAAAAAUAAAACCGCAGGUAAUAUAAUCAGUCGUUUGAUAACAACAGGAUGGGUCUCUGCUUUUCUUUCGACUGCGGUGACGACUGCUGUAGCGUCAACCCGUGUUGCCUGGCACUGAGCGCUUGCUGCCUGAUCCCCUGUCUCUGCCCCAACGCGUGUGGGCAACAGGAGCAGCCAGCCCAGGUGGUCCACAUCCACCAUCCGCCCCAGACCUUCGAGCAGCCGCCCCAGCAUAUCCACCACCCGCCGACCUUCGCCGAGCAGCCAGGGUACCCAGGCUACCCCCCGCCAGAGCAGCAGGGCUACCCCGGAUACCCUCCUCCCCCCGGCUCCUACCCCGUGCCGCCGCCGCAAGGGUACUACCCUCAAGUUCAAAACAGAUAGACUGACAAAAUAUAAGGUGAGUUGGCUACCAGUGAUUCAUACGUUUGUCUUGACGCUUAAAGUGUUAUCUUGAGAUUUCCUUUGGUUUGGUUACCUGUAGAGUCAACAGUUAUGAUUUCAUUGCGUAUACAAUGUUGAAUUCAUGUCUUUGGUUUGGUUUGGUUGGUAUUCUCGUUUUCCAAAUGAUACUCUCAGGUUAGGUAGUCACUAAAAGUAACUUAAUUAUUAGGACACAGAUUUGACAGUUCUAAAGCGAUAGUGAGAUUCGUUUAUAAGUCGGUUCUGCCGUGUCACUGUUACAAAUCAAUGCAGUUUUAAAAACGUUUCAAUAUUCUGAAUACUCACAUAUGAUUGUAUGAAUUUUACUUUUCAGCAAUUUUUCAGCUAAUAUAAGCUGACAACCGACAACACUCAAGUGCAAAUUAUAAAACAAAAGACUUCUUUGAGAUUCAUUUGUCAUUUCGUCAACUUGAAGUGAGUGUUGGCCAGUUUUUCGGUUAGUUAUUUGCGGUUAAUAGUAACUUGUGGAAAUUCAUAAUUUUAUUUCACUAUUCAUCAGGUGUUUGCAUAGAGUACCUACCUAAAAAUAGCCCUAGUAGGUACUUCAUAAUUACCUUAAGCUUGCUUGAUUAAUUAAAUAUAAUAAAUUGUACUUAAUGUUUUUAUACGUAGGAAAUGCUAUGGGCUUGGCUUGAUCGAUGUCCACGGAGACAAUUUUUCAGCUCAAAAAGAUUUUUGAUAUAAGUAAUAUUAUUAGAAUACUUUUUUAACUUAAGUAAGUACUUACAUAAAACUUAUUACUAGGUACUUAAUUGUUGGAAACAAUAGGUAAUAACGCUAAAAUUAUGUCAUGAACUUCAGUAAAGAAAACUCAUACUUAAUUAGAAUAAUUAGGUACAUUCCGUGACAUUAAAAUGCAAAUAGGUCUGUUCGUAGCUACAAGUAGAACUGUAUGGUCAGUAACUAAUAUUUUUACUCAAUAAUAAGAAAAACAUCUAGUUUUUUUCUUUCUUUACUGCUAGAGUCACGGUUGACUGGAAAAGUCAUGGUGAGUCAUUCUUUAGAGGUGAAUUUUCGUCAGGAAGUCUUCACGGUAAAGUUAUUUCCUUAUUAGAUUUAUUGUUAGUUUGUCGUUGGACGUAGCUAACGUGACUCAGGCUAAAGAUAAUAAUAUUUACCUCAAUGUAAAUACUUAAAACCAUUUAAAGAACCUAAUCCUUGAUUGAUAUACUUACUUCCUUAACUAAAACUCAAGUUAUUUAUUGAUAAAAACUCAUUAUCAUGUGAAGAUAUCUGUAUCAUGUGAAAUAACAAUUACAAUAAGUACUUAAUCAUUUCGGGUAAUUCCAUGCAGCAAGAGCGCUAGACUGUAAUCCACAAUGGGGUGCAACUUCUCCUGCCGGCCCUGCUGCUGCUGCUGCAUCCCGUGCUGCUGCUGCGACUGCUGCGACAAGGACCCCCCCGCAGCAACUGUGGUGCACGUGCACAACCCCUCCCCCGCGCCGCCCGUCUACCAACCACCCGUGCAACACCAGCCCUCGUAUAGGUAGCCAUCUCGGAAUUCCAAAUUUAAAAUUGCUCGCUGACAGUUUUGUUUCUUUUUUCCGUCGGUUUGUCUUGUCUUUGGCGAUUUCUGUUUGAAAUUUGUUCGAUUCAAUUUGAAAUAAGAGCAUUUGUUUUUUACUGUAAGUAAUUAAUGGAAAUCAAUAUGAAUAGAAUAUUGGAAUAGAAAUAAAGUUGUGUGGUUAGAUCAGAAUAGGGCAUUCAGAUGUUAUCUAUGGUAUUACUAUUUAUCGUACAGUUAUCACGAUAAGACAAAUCCUUCACAAAUAUUUUGUUCAAUAAAAUUUACGACUUUUCAGUAUCAGAGUUCCCAGAAUUCACAUAAAUUUAUGUAUUAUGUGUAACUAUGUAUGAUAUAAUCAGUGUAAUCUUCAUUUCUGAGAAUUGAUACUUAAUUUUGAUAAUAUGCUUGAUUAUGUUAGGCAAA
This is an RNA transcript of Plutella xylostella (diamondback moth), 2527 nucleotides long. RefSeq lists it as uncharacterized. The record is from RefSeq and is a predicted model, not a curated record. NCBI's taxonomy places the organism in Eukaryota, Metazoa, Arthropoda, Insecta, Lepidoptera, Plutellidae.